Molecule: unclassified non-coding RNA, 180 nt
Filed under: Glomeraceae sp.
Lineage: Eukaryota; Fungi; Glomeromycota; Glomeromycetes; Glomerales; Glomeraceae
Description: partial contains small subunit ribosomal RNA, internal transcribed spacer 1, and 5.8S ribosomal RNA
Rfam family: Eukaryotic small subunit ribosomal RNA (bases 1-46)
Source: RNAcentral
AAGUCGUAACAAGGUUUCCGUAGGUGAACCUGCGGAAGGAUCAUUAUCAAUUCUGCGCGAUCUUUUUCGCGCGUGUAUUUAAAACCCACCCUUUUUUUUUUGAAAAAAAUUUUUACAUAUUUUUUACUUGAAAUGAGUAAUUAAAAAAGAUCACUUUCAACAACGGAUCUCUUGGUUCUC